GAUGAACGCUAGCGGCAGGCCUAACACAUGCAAGUCGAGGGGCAGCACAGAAACAGCAAUGUUUUGGUGGCGACCGGCGGACGGGUGCGUAACGCGUAUGCAACCUACCUUUAACAGGGGGAUAACGGAGAGAAAUUUCCACUAAUACCCCAUAACAUCGAUCAAGGCAUCUUGAUUGGUUGAAAACUCCGGUGGUUAAAGGUGGGCAUGCGUUGUAUUAGGUAGUUGGUGAGGUAAUGGGUCACCAAGACUACGAUACAAAGGGGGACGGAGAGGUUAGCCCCCCACACUGGUAAUGGGACACGGAACAGACUCCUACGGGAGGCAGCAAUGAGGAAUAUUGGUCAAUGGGGGCAACCCUGAACCAGCCAUGCCGCGUGCAGGAAGACGGCUCUACGAGUUGUAAACUGCUUUUAAACAGGGAUAAAGCACAGUAUGUAUACUGUGUUGAAGGUACUGUAAGAAUAAGGAUCGGCUAACUCCGUGCCAGCCGCCGCGGUAA
This 502-nucleotide ribosomal RNA is filed under the name uncultured bacterium. RNAcentral describes it as "partial 16S ribosomal RNA". It matches the Rfam family "Bacterial small subunit ribosomal RNA", at positions 28 to 523 of the family's 1533-position model. The record is from RNAcentral.